UGGGGAAUAUUGCACAAUGGGCGAAAGCCUGAUGCAGCGACGCCGCGUGAGGGAUGACGGCCUUCGGGUUGUAAACCUCUUUCAGCAGGGAAGAAGCGAAAGUGACGGUACCUGCAGAAGAAGCGCCGGCUAACUACGUGCCAGCAGCCGCGGUAAUACGUAGGGCGCAAGCGUUGUCCGGAAUUAUUGGGCGUAAAGAGCUCGUAGGCGGUUAGUCGCGUCUGCUGUGAAAACUCGAGGCUCAACCUCGGGCUUGCAGUGGGUACGGGCUGACUAGAGUGCGGUAGGGGUGACUGGAAUUCCUGGUGUAGCGGUGGAAUGCGCAGAUAUCAGGAGGAACACCGAUGGCGAAGGCAGGUCACUGGGCCGCAACUGACGCUGAGGAGCGAAAGCAUGGGGAGCGAACAGGAUUAGAUAGCCCUGGUAGUCCAUGCCGUAAACGUUGGGCACUAGGUGUGGGGUCCAUUCCGCGGAUUCCGUGCCGCAGCAAA
Molecule: ribosomal RNA, 491 nt
Filed under: uncultured bacterium
Lineage: Bacteria
Description: partial 16S ribosomal RNA
Rfam family: Bacterial small subunit ribosomal RNA
Source: RNAcentral